RNAcentral lists this ribosomal RNA (348 nucleotides) under uncultured bacterium. RNAcentral describes it as "bacterial SSU rRNA". It matches the Rfam family "Bacterial small subunit ribosomal RNA", at positions 917 to 1267 of the family's 1533-position model. The record is from RNAcentral.
GGACCCGCACAAGCGGUGGAGCAUGUGGUUUAAUUCGAUGCAACGCGAAGAACCUUACCAGGGUUUGACAUCCUGCGAAUCUCUUGGAAACUUGAGAGUGCCUUCGGGAGCGCAGUGACAGGUGGUGCAUGGCUGUCGUCAGCUCGUGUCGUGAGAUGUUGGUUAAGUCCCGCAACGAGCGCAACCCACGUCUUUAGUUGCCAGCAUUUAGUUGGGCACUCUAGAGAGACCGCCGGUGAUAAACCGGAGGAAGGUGUGGAUGACGUCAAGUCAUCAUGCCCCUUACAUCCUGGGCUACACACGUACUACAAUGCUACGGACAAAGGGCAGCAAGUUCGCGAGGACAAG